RNAcentral lists this long non-coding RNA (10887 nucleotides) under Homo sapiens (human). Its description in RNAcentral is "non-protein coding lnc-EIF2AK3-1:5". The record is from RNAcentral. Lineage: Eukaryota; Metazoa; Chordata; Mammalia; Primates; Hominidae.
GCUCUGUGAAGUACCAUUAGCCGCGGGAAUAUCAGUAUGGUGACUCCUUACCCUGGGGAAGUGUACUUAGGCCACGGCUAGGUGAAGCCCAGGGAUAUUUCUGUUCGCCCAUGCAUCCGAGAAAGGAGUGUUAGACCUGACCCUGUUGUUUCUCCCAGCAGUGAGAACGUGGCCAUGGACAAGAAUUCCAAGUAGUGGCACUUCUGUAGACGACGCGGCCCUUUUGGGGUUACUACAGCCCAGGAAACUCACAUGCGACACGGCGCCAGCUGAAGUCCAUCUAGACCCCCGCAGACCCAAGGUCACAAGUUGAGAACCCCCUGCCGUGGACAUUCUUCUGCACCUAGUGGUGAAGCAGGUGGAGCUGCACCUUGCUCCGCCCAUUUGGAGACUGGUUCUGCACAUAUGAGUGUGCCCUGCAGCGAUCCUGCAAUCCUUCGUGACUAACAAGGACUUUCUGUGAAAACAGAUUUAUCUUUUCUUCUCUACCUUUAAGGUUUCUUGCUGUUGAGAAUAGUUAAGGGACGAGGAAUUCUUAUUGCCCCCAUUUUACAGGCAAAGAAACUAAUGCUGACCCCAACCUUACCGACCACUUGGAGGUCCCUAAAAACACAUGACCUUUGUGUUUCUCGGCUGUUAGUGGAAUCCUUUCUGUCUGCUCAUGAACUCAUCUUCAAACGCAUUCCAGGCCUUCAGAACUCUUCCGUGAGCGCAAGUCACUGAUUGCACUAGAAAGAACCACAUGGGGUUUAUUCUUCCCUCUUUCAAGAAACCUAAUGAAAUUGGGCUGAGAUUCCAAGGAACUCCUGGAAAAGAGUUAUCAGUGCCAGAAUGAAAGAUCCUAGAGGCAGAGCCCACCGUUCUACUCUAUUUAUAGUGGUGAAAGGUAAGGCCUGCACCUGCAUGGGCUUUAAGUAUUCACUCCCAUGAUAGUCCCAGUGUGGUCCAGCCUUAGAGGAAACAGAGGCAAUGGGCACCAUGGCAAUUCACUUAAUGCUGGUGUAUUAGUCCGUUUUCAUGCUGCUGAUAAAGGCAUACCUGAGAUUGGGCAAUUUACAAAAGAAAGAGCUUUAAUGGACUUAUAGUUCCACAUGGCUAGGGAAGCCUCACAAUCAUGGCAGAAGACAAGGAGAAGCAAGUCACAUCUUACAUGAAUGGCAGCAGGCAAAGAGAGAGAGCUUGUGCAGGGAAACUCCCAUUUUUAAAACCAUCAGAUCUCAUGAGACUUACUAUCACAAGGACAGCACAGGAAAUACCCACCCCCAUAAUUCAAUUAUCUCCCACCAGGUCCCUCCCACAAUACAUGGGAAUUAUGGGAGCUACAAGAUGAGAUUUGGGUGGGGACACAGAGCAAACCAUAUCAGCUGGGAUGUAGGCACCACCAGGAAGAUACAUAGCCAUCAUUGUGUUCCUGCCCAGGCUUCAGUGAAGCAGGAAAAACUCUUGCUUUUUCCACUUCCUCAUUUCCAUUUCCUCUCCUUUCUCACUCUUACUUUCUUCAAAGUUUGUACAUUUUGAAGAUGAUUUCCAUGGAAGACUGUACAGAGCUACAAACUAGAUGUUGGAAUGGAUUUGAGGAUCCUGCCAGAGACUGAAGAUGCUGGCUCAGAUAUAUCUCAGAAUAGAGUUUGGCUCUCCCUACUUUCAUUCAACAGCUUCACUCAUUUAGACCUAGCAACCCAACCUCACACCCUCCACUCUCACACCGUUAGAAUGACCCUUUGGAGCCUCAACUUUUGACCUGCCUUGCUCCAUCCCCUUUUCACAAGGGCAGGUUUAUUGUCUACUGGCAAUCUUGACUAGGGCCUUGGAAGAGGAUUGGACCUUAUUCACAGUGGUCUAGUGAUCAAAACAAGUCAUUGUUAAUACAUCAGUGUUACUACCUUGCUAUGCAUGUAACGCUGGAAAACAGCAUAGUGCAGUCCAUUUACCAAAACCAAAUCUUACUGCUAGUUGACCAACACCAUGUGGUACUGAGAAAAAUGUGUAUAGAACAACCCCUUACUGCUGUAUAAAACCAUUCCUUGCUUAAGGAUCACCUGACUUUUGAUAUCUUUACACCAGUGAUUGUCAACUUGGAAUGAUUUUUGCCCCUCCCCUCAUGGGGAUAUUUGACAAUGUCUGGACACAUUUUUUAUUGUCACAAUUGGGAGAAUUCUACUGGCGUCUAAUAGGUUGGGGCCAAGGAUACUGCUAAACAUCCUUCAGUGCACAGACAGCCACAUACACAAAGAAUUUUCCCAACCAAAGGUCAAUAGUGCUGAUAUUGAGAAACUGCCUUAAAGAAUCUUCAGGUGAGACUACAUGGGAGGUUCUGUUAGCAGUAGCGAAUCCAUACAGGUCUGCAGCAACCUCAAUUCUUGCCUCCUCAGAAGAAAGAAUUCAACCAAGGAGGCAUUAGGCAAUAGGAAAGACCAAUGCAAGUUUUAGAACAGGAAUAAAAGUUUGUUUAAAAGCUUUAGAGAAAGAACAAAAGGAAGGAAAGUCCACUUGGAAGAGGGCCAAGCAGGUGACUUGAAAGACGAGUGGUUUGACCUUUUGACUUAGGUUUUUAUAUGUUAACAAACUUCCAGGGCUUGCAUUUUAUUCUCCCCUCAUUCUUCCUUUGGGGUGGGCUGUCUGUAUGUGCAGUUGCCUGCUAGCCCUUGCAAGGGGAGCAUGCAUGGUGUGUUUACCGGAGUUGUACACAUGCUCACUUGAGGCGUUCUUCCCUUACCAGUUGAAUGUCCCUAGGAGGCCAGAUACCAGUUCAGCUCUGCCAUUUUGUCUCUUAAUGCACAUGCUUGAGCCCACUAGUGCAACUCCUGAGAUCUUAUUGGGAAGCUGUUGAUUACCAGUUUCAGGUUUUUUCUAUCUGUUGGGAGACUUCCUUUCCCUGGCACUGGCAGCAAACAAUUAUUAUUUUAGAGAGGCAAUUAACAGCUGCCUGACCAUCACCUGAUGGUCACCUGACAUUCCUUUUAGGGGUUUGGGCAAGUGCUCUCCUGCCCUGUUCAUGACCGACUAGCUACCCACUGUAGCAUUUCUCCCCUCAAGAUUCCAAGACCCCAAUUCUUUGGGAAAAAUGGAUGAUCAGUCUUCUGUAAAUCCCUCCUGCUGAUGGUGGGGCAGUGGUGGUUGUUCUGUGGGUCUUGGCCUGUUGCUAGCUGUCAGAGAAGGAGAGUGGCUCCAUGGGUUGAUGAGAGCACUAUCCAGCCAGGUCCAAGGGAGGCAGGGGCAGAAUUUUAUCUCCAUCAUGUAUCCCUGAUGGACAUCUAGGGGUCCCCUGUAAGAGGGUGACUCUUGAAUAUUGAGAGGAUGGUAUCCCUCUCUCAGGAUUAUCUGGAGCUUGAUGGCCUGAAGAUGAAAAUAGACAAAUUGAGUUAUUAGAUUUAGUAGAAUGUUAAAAUGAAAUAAGGAGGUGAGGACAGCUCCAAAAAACCCCAAGCCUGCCGGCACACCCAUGUAACUGGUGGCCAUAGUCAUGCCUGCCAAGACUUGGGUUUAUUGGGUUGCUAGCCAGUUCCAGUAUGUGCCCAGAAUUAGAAUAUUGAUCCAGAUUUGUAUGUUACCCAUCCCUUUUGUUUCUUCUGAGCUGCAGCCAGAGAUCACUAGCUGGUUCACAGGAAUAAGGGUUAGUCUAAAUUGCAGAGAAAAAUUCAAAAACAGCUGAUGAGACUAGAAUCUAAGAACAGGUAUACCAUAGUUCUUGAAACAUAAUUUUCCAGACAUGGUGGCUCAUGCCUGUAAUCCCAGCACUUUGGGAGGCCAAGGUGGGCAGAUCACUUGAGUUCAGGAGUUUGAGACCAGCCUGGCCAACAUGGUGAAACCCCAUCUCUACUAAAAAUACAAAAAUGAGCUGGGCGUGGUGGUGGGUGCCUGUAAUCCCAGCUACUCAGAAGGCCAUGGCAGGAGAAUCGCUUGAACCCAGGUGAAAGAGGUUGCAGGGAGUCGAGAUCAUGCUUCUGCACUCCAGCCUGGGCAAUAGAGUGAGAGACUCCAUCUCAAAAAAAAAAAAGAAAAAAGAAAAAAAAUAAGAAAUAAAUAGAAUUUUUCUCUCCAGUCCUCAUUUUUAUUAAAAACAAAUCAUGACAGGACAGAUUUGUUUGCAAAAUAAACUUUAGUCUUCUUAUACUUGGCCUAAUUAUUUGCACAAAGCACAGCAAGAAUAAUUAUUUCCCUUAUAGGCUCCUUUUUAAAUUGGCUUUGAUGCAACUUUGUUCCAUAAGGAAUCUCAGAUAAGACGUUUUUAAAGCCUUAAGCCCAGCCAUGGGUUGGUGCCAUCAAAUACCUGUAUGAAUUGAAUAAAUUCCUUUCCUCUUGAGGUCCCCAGAUAACCUGGGGCUCCUGGGCCUGUCAGAAACUGGUAUUCUUUACUUACCACAGGUCAGGAACCCUGUACAGGGACCGUGUAGAUAAGGUAUGUUUUCCUAGGGGGGGCUUUUAUUGGCUCUAUAAGUCAAAUUUGAUUCCCUGAAGGAAAGCACACCAUUACAGUUAAAGCCUUGGUAAAAUAACCAGUGGCUUCAAUUUUGUCAUUGCAAAAGAAAACAGAUUCUUAUUGCACUUAUGCAAAUUACUAUCUUGCCAUAAGUUAAGAAUACUCACAAAUUGUUUCCAAAUUCUGGGGAAUCUGGAAGAGAGAAAUAUGCUGCAAAUUUUGUUUACAGGGGUAUACUUUGCUCAUUUGUUAAAAAUUGUAAAUGGCUCAAAAGAAAAGCUUUCUAGGCUUUGAAAAACAAAGGAGCAGCCAUGUUUUAAGCAAAAAGUAAUAAGAGGAUUGUUCUAGUUUUUUAUUAGUUCAGUCCAUGUAGUUAACUCCUAUUCUGCUUGAUAUUCACAAACAUUUUAGCUCUCCAUGAGGGUCCUGAAAGAUUUUUCCUCUAUUCUAAUGUCACAAUAUCCAAAGUUAUCAGAAACCUGCAUUUAAGAGCACCUGUUAGAUUCCCAUAGCUGAUUAUAAACUGCCUUCUAAAACAAUCCUUUAACCAUCUAAAGUAGGCAAAAAAAUCCAUAUUCCCAUGAGUUCUUAUAACUUUUUCCCAAAAGCACAUUCUACCUUCCUUACACACCUUCCAUGUAAAACUAUGUUUCCCAUAGCCUCAAGUACAUGUUACACUAUUAAGUCUUAGCAAUUUUUACUUUUGGUGAAAAACCUGGUGAGUAAGUGAUUUUAAUUAUGUGCUAGGUUUGGAGCCUAGGACACCAGACAGAAGUCCAGAUAAGGUCUGACUGUUUUCAGCAUAGCUAGGGGGCAUGGCUAACUCUGUAUGUUCCCAGGCCUUACCUAGCUUUAAAGCAGGGAAUUUGUACUGUUAAGAGCUAUAGUGGCAGUUUGUGAAGCAUUUAGAUGGCAUAGUAACCUUUAAAAUUGUGUAGUAGUUCUUUCAUAAAUUCCCUUUCACAAAUCUUUUUUAACAACUUACACAGACCACCUACAACAUGCUUGGACUUUUUUACUUGUCCUAAACAUCCCUCUUUUUAAACCACCAGUCAUUUUACUUUAGGACAAGAAUUUACCAUACAAGAUUUUUUUUUGUUCUACAAUAUCUCUUCUUUAUAGCCUUCCUUACCAGAAAUACCACUUUACCUUUAUAACCUUUGAAUUAGACAAAAGUCAUUUUCCUUCUUUUAGAAAGUUAAGGUUUGUACCACAUGUUGCUAUGUGAGUCCUGUGGAGGGGGAGCAGAUAAGGGGGUUAUCUACCUACUGCAGAAGUUAUCCCCCGCUCAAGAGUUUGCUCAGUUAGAUUUUCACUAGAACUUGUCUGAAUAAAUGUGGGCUAUUUCUAAACCCCUGAGGUAGGACUGUACCGGUUAAAGUUAUUUGUUAAAGAAUUACUUAAUUUUGAGGGGAGAGAUAGGACUAUCAGAGAGAAAGAUGAAUUCAGAGGCUGGAUAAAUAUUGAGUGAGCACCCAUUUUGGAAAGUAUAUUUUUGCCCCAAAGAGGUGAGAGGACAUUGCCAGGGACUGGUGGGAGAAUAGUAAUUGGUCCCUUAACUAAUAUAAAGGGGUGUGAAUCUUUUCUUUUGGAGGGGGGUGCCAUUUGCCCCUAUUGCCUGACAGGAUUUGGAAGAGAGUUUCUCAGAGAAAGAUAUUAGCACAGAGUAGGCAGCUCUUGAAUCCAAAAGGGAAAUUUAUAAUUUUACUUGCCACCUGCAGAGUUGCCCUCAGCUUUGUCCUGUUGAUGAUGAUGUGUGAUUUGGAAGGCAACUAGAGCAGAGACCACCUUCAGCUCAAGGUUAUCAGGGGUUGGGAUUCUGUCCCAAGGGCCCUUUGGCCCGUCAGGGCGGUCUCAUUUCCAGUGGCCAAGCUUGUGGCAGAGAGGCAAGCCAUUAGAGGCUUUUUCCCAUUUAUCCCAUUAGGGCACUUUGCCUUCCAGUGGCCUGGCUUCCCACACCAAUGGCAGUUACCUGGAGGAGUGCCCUUAGGGCAACCUGGAGGGAGUUGGUGGGCUUGCAGAGCAGCCAGUACUUGAGCCCACCUCCUUUCUCUGUGUUUCUCCUUUUUCUUAGCCUUGUCCUCCUUAUUCUGCUGUCAGUUAUAAAAGACUGAGGAGGCUAAUCUGAGGACCUCCUGCACAGGGGUACUGAGUUCUAAGGCUGACUUUUGCAAUUUCCUCCCAGUUCAUUCUUAAGCCAAAUAGUAUUACAAAGGAAAACUAGUUUUUUGUUUUAAGGUUUGGGGGAAUCAGACUUUUCCCAGUUUGAGGGGGCGCCUCCAAGGAGCAUGAUCUUUAAUUUGGAGAUGCUAUUACCCAUCUGCAAAAGGCAAACAGAGGAGAAAAAGGGGGGUAAAAUUUUUCCUCCACUUUCCUAUUAUUCUGAAUGAGGCAUCCUCCAUUGUCCUUAGGGUUCCAGAAUAAACCAGUCUUACCAUGUACCCUUGGUCCAUCUCAUCACAAUUACCCACUUGAAAACAGAAGAGAUACUGGAGUGAAAAGUGGGCCCUCUGUUCGUCCCUAAGGUUCUGGAAUGAACUGGUCUUACUGUGUACCCCUAACCUUGCCUUCAUCUCUGUUCUAAUGGUAAUCUGUUAGCCUAGGGCUAAACUUCAUCUCUGUCCAAUGGGUCUCUUGCACCUGCUGCCUUGGGCCAGCCUAUAUCCUUGUCUCCAUGACCCUAUAGUGACUCUCACUUCAGCAUUUAGCAACAAAAUGAUUAUCUAUUUUCUUAUAUUCCCAUUUCCAUGUUCUUUAAGUAGAUGAGAAGCCUGUUUUUCAGUUAACUGCCCCAAGGGGCUAGACUUCCCUCCCUGCAAAUAUGACCUUGAAGGUCUUGAUGUAUGUUAAUAAGGGCAUGGAAGUGGUUAGAGAAAUGGAAGCUACAGGAGGAAGUGGGAGGAAGCAAGAGGAAUACUCAUGGAAAGCCUUCAUAUCCUCACAAAAACAGCAGCCCUUGGAUUCAAGGGGGCAACAUUUAUUUGCCCUCUUGACAUAAAGGAGUAAACUCCAGGGGACUUGGGGCUUGGGGUAAGAACUCGCAAAUGGCAAAGGAAGAAUUUAUCCUCCUCCCAGUGGGUGCUUACUAAAAAAAAAAAAAAAAAAAAAAAAAAAAAAAAAAAAAAAGCAAGUAGGCAAGUAGGUGGGAUCCUUAAAGGGCCAGAGUGAGGUCCUAUGUAGGCAGACAAAUUGCUUCAAAAGCCACUGGAAAACUUGGCCCUGGGGUGUAACAGGAACAAAAAGCAUAUAGUAAGUUAUAAGGAGCUGGCAGAGCUACAGUUCCAAUUAGUGUCUGUCCCAGCAAUGUGCCAGCAGACAGGGGAAGGGUUGGAGGUCAUCUGAGCUGGUAGGAUAAAAACAAGUAUAAAUCUCAGGGGCUAUCUGCAAAGGAGCCUGUGUCUUUUCUGCCAUGAAAAUUCAGCAAGAGCCGCGGACACAUGAAUAACAGGGAGUGUGUGUUUAAGAAGUCAUGUGGCAUGUGAAGUGAAAGCAAAGAGCCAGACUUGCCCCCAAGGCAGACUGUCUGGCUGGGUGUUCAAGGCCAUUUCAGAACACACAGAGAAAAUAGAAGAAUAGGCAGUGCAGGUUCUUGGGGAAAAGCUGAUUUUAGUUGAAAAAGCAGAGGAAAACCCAGACAUUGCACAGUUUUAGACUUUAGCCCUACCACUUUCAUGAGCCUCCUGCCCAGGAGGGCCAUUAGUUCUACUCAGUGUGGACCCCAAGGUCCUUCCCACUCCCGUGAGCUACCCAUCAGGGUAAGCUGAGAGAUCAGCUGGGGGGAGUAGAGCCACUGUAGCUGAGAGGAAUUGUUUGUGGGGUUGGUUAGUAAGCAAGAGAGCAAAAAGGAGGAGGAAACCAUGUAGACGGGUUGAAUGCCUCCAGCUGAAGCAGGCAAGGUGUAUAGGUCUUGUACUACUAGGGAACUUAUCCGAGUCAUAUAGCACCAAAGUAUGUUAGCAGUGGCAAAUUCAUACAGGUCUACAGCAACCUCAGUUCUUGCCUCCUCAGAAGGAAGAAUUUGACUGAGGAGAUGGAAGGCAGGAGAGAUCAAGGCAAGUUUUGGAACAGGAAUGAAAGUUUGUUUAAAAGCUUUAGAGAAGUUACAAAGGGAAGGAAAGUCCACUUGGAAGAGGGCCAAGUGGGUGACUUGAAAUAUCAGUGCGUGGUUUGACCUUUUGACUUAGGGUUUUAUAUGUUUGCAUAAUUCCAGGGUCUUGCGUUCGUUCUCCCCUGAUUCUUCCCUUGGGGUGGGCUGUCUGCAUGUAUGGUGGCCUGCUAGCGCUUGGGAGGGGAGCAUGCACAGUGUGUUACUGGAGUUGUAGGCAUGCUCACUUGAGGAAUUCUUCCCUUACCAGUCAGAUGUCCCUAGGAGGUCAUAUACCAGUUCAACUACACCAUUUUGCCUCAAUGUGCAUGCUUGAGCCCAGUCGCCCAACUCCUAAUAUCUUAUCAUGAAGCUGCUGAUCACCAGUUUCAGGUUUUUUCUGUCUGUUGGGAGACUGCCUUUCCCUGGCAUUGGCUGCAACCAAUUAUUUUAGAGAAACAGCACUGCCUGAACAUCACCUGAUGAGCCCCUGACAUUUUUGGUGGGGGUUGUGGGGAGCCCUCUCUUGCCCCGCUCAUGCCUGACUAGCUACCCACUAUAACACCUCAUCUAUCUUGUGCAGCUUGUUUCAUCUGUUUCAUCCAUUCCCAGAACUCCCAAGUGAUCACCUUCUCCAGACCUAUCUUACCCCCAAGGAACUCCCUAGCUCUCAGUACCCCCACCCACAUUGGUUGUUCCUUGUUUGCCAAAGCACUCUCUGGAGCUCACCUGUUUGUCAGUGUUGUCAUUUAGUUCCAUCCAUUUGUUUUCUCUGGAUGGAGCUGGAGGAAACUUCAGAUCCAUAUGGGCAGAAGAGGAGAAAGAUGAAGGAAACCAAGCUUUGCCAGUUUGGUGAGGUAGGGGUGAGGAGCAGACAUUCACAAAAAAGAUCAUUCCUUUCCACGCUGGCAGAGGAAUCAGCUCUAGCCCUGAUGCCUGCACUGUUGCCAAAGGGCUCCAUCUCUGUUCAGUCUUGAGCAUCAGCCUAACUUACCAGUUACCAAGCCCUGAAAAGAGGGAAUGGAUGUGCAUCCCACCUCAAGGAGGAGGUGAGAGGAAGAAAACAGACUAUUCUGCCACUUGAGUAUAUACAUUCUGUAGAAAAGUCAGAGGGGCACUUUCUAAGACUGGACCACACAUCCAUGGACCUUGUUGAGUCUGCGAAAAUGAUACACCAAGAUAAAGGUUGCAGAAGAAAAGUUUUCUCUGACCUUCCCCUGCCCUCCAAUCUCUGGCUGCUCAUUCUCCCCCAGGAUAGUCACAGAAACUAGAAUCCCUCUUCCCCAAGGCAGGUCAUAGAAACCAGAACCCCUUUCCCCAAAAGCAAGCCAUAAAGCCUAAAAAUAUUACUCCAACUUUCCCCCACCUUUCUGUGUGAAAAAUUGGCCAUAAAGAAAUUACCUGACCUACCAUGUUAGGGAUAACCAUUCCAGAGAGGUUCCUGCCCCAUACCCAGAAGGAAGGAAUGCUCCACAGAGAGACCAAGAGUCAUCUAAGCAGACAGGCCUUGCUGGGUUUCCCCACUCAGUCUGUUAGCAUUAGAUCAUAACCUUUAUGUACGAUCAUAUUUCUACAUGGCUAUCCAUAGUUCUUGAACCUAAGCAUAAAAAUGGGCAGUUUCCUCUGUAUUUUUGAGUCUUCAUUCUGAAGGCUCCCAUGUCGUGUAAAAUGAUGAUCAAAUACAUUUGUACUCCUUUUCUCCCAUUAAUCUGUCUUGUGUCUGUUGAUUUUCAGUGACCCUUCAGAGGGUGAAAGGGAAGCUUUCUCUGGGCCCUUAAAACCUUCACAAGGCUGGCUCCCUUACCUUAUUCAGGUUUAGCCACAGAGGUCUUCCCUGAUUUACUAAUAAAGUACCACUGCCCCAAUCCUCAGCCCUCCCAUCUCCCCCUCACUCCCAUCAAAUUAUCCUAUUGUGCUCUGUCAUCAUCUUGUUAUCAAGAAAGAAAAAUAGCUUAGAGCUCUCUGAGGAAUGUGAGGUAUGUAAAAUGUAUCAGGCCCAGAGAGUAUGGGACUUCAGUCUUCCCAUCUUCUCCUGCACCCAUUCCCAGAGGCAAUUGUUUAAAAGCAUUUUGUUUUUUCUUUCCUUUCCUGUAGUUUCAUAAUGUAACCCUCACCCAUUAUCUUCAUAUUCCUGGAACUUGUCAUACAAAGAACAACAUAUAGGCAAUCACCAAUCAACAUUAUUUCUGUAAACCAAUGAGAAUCCUUGACAAACAACUUCCUAUCAGUCCACUCCUUAUCCCUCCUUUAGGUCUAUAAAAACCUGCCUGUUAACAAAGGUUGGAUGGAGCUCACAUCCAAGGUUACUUGGGUCUGAGUCUUCUGGGCAGCUCUCCUCCUCAUGGCUCAAGUAAGCUCUUUAAAAUGACAUUUUGUGCCUCAC